GGGAAGGAGUUGCCUGCUUCUCCCAUGCGCAAGCCUCUACAAUCGAAUCACAAUACCAGAUCUGACGUUACACAAAAAGGCAGCGCAAAGGAUCAGUCAGGCUUGAGGCAUAUGACGACAUUCAGUUCUUUCGACGGCCCUAAAGGGCGUGAAAUCCAAAAGGUUCCUGUCGGCACAAAGAGCAUGCUAACAGCUCUGUUUAUCAAGCACAAGUCAGUCAAGAUGAAAAAGAUCUCAGCCAGAUGAUCCUCUUUUGCUCAUGUAAUGCCAAGGGAUGUAACUGUAUGUAGAGUAAACUCGUUUGUUCUUUUCAUCUCAGAAUCUGUAACAUGUUAUCCUGCUGAUGAUCUAAAUGUAAGAUUUCAUAACAGAAUA
Molecule: long non-coding RNA, 375 nt
Organism: Lolium rigidum
Lineage: Eukaryota; Viridiplantae; Streptophyta; Magnoliopsida; Poales; Poaceae
Exons: 2
Source: RefSeq, a predicted model, not a curated record